UCAUUGUUCAAGCAGGUUGUGAUCUCAGUGCAAGACUGUUGUCAAAACAAGAACAAUCAUGUACUGGAAACUUAUUGGGUGCUGAAAGGACUUUAUGGAUGUCAAGUGAUUUACUUACUCUUCUCAUUCAUCCUAUAAGGUCAAAGCAUCAAACUCUAUUCUUAUGUCUGGGCUAUUUACUGCACACGUUGUCUCAGUGAAGCUAUUAAAUGAUGCUAAGGAAACAUUUGGAAAUCGGCUCCAAGCAGAAGAUCCAAAUUAACACAGAUGACGGGGAGACAGCUAACACAUGUCUGAAUUCCAUCAAAAUUUCUCCAGUUUGCCAAGUCAUUAGGUUUGGCAGCAAUACCUCCAGCCACGGAGAAGUUCCUCCAACCCUCAGCCUGUCAAUCAUUCUGCACAUAUUCUAGAAGAAGCUAUCCUUGAAGACUGAGAAAUGUGCUCCUUUUGAUUCUUCAGCCUGG
This is a long non-coding RNA of Mesocricetus auratus (golden hamster), 464 nucleotides long. RefSeq lists it as uncharacterized. The record is from RefSeq and is a predicted model, not a curated record. The transcript has 4 exons. Lineage: Eukaryota; Metazoa; Chordata; Mammalia; Rodentia; Cricetidae.